This 2600-nucleotide long non-coding RNA is filed under the name Coffea arabica (coffee). RNAcentral's name for it is "long non-coding RNA (CARA_LNC001381)". Lineage: Eukaryota; Viridiplantae; Streptophyta; Magnoliopsida; Gentianales; Rubiaceae. The record is from RNAcentral.
UUUUUUUUUUUUUUUUUUUAAUAUUUUUUAAGAUGUUCAUAAAAAUGUUGAUUGAAAUGCAUAGAUUGGACCAUGAGUGAUAAAUUAUCAUCUUCGCAAGGAGGACAUUAAGUGGUCCAAGUCAACUAAUUGGCCCAACUUACACAGAAAGAAACUGUAAACGUUUAAUUGCUAUUGGUUUUUCUAUCAACAUCACAUGGCCAUAAUUCGGCAUCCAUAUAGCUAUAAUACGACAUACACAUAAAUAACAACAGGGAAUGAUAAAACUACUUUUAAAAGAAUAGAAGGUGUCAAUUGUCAAGCUCAGAACUAUCUAAACCUGGACCAUAGACAUUUGAAAGAAGGAUGUGUUGCAUUGCAUUAUUUCCGUCCGUGUAUCUAACAGUAACUCAGAAACAAAAGAAGCAUAAAAAAUAGCUUUGCCCAAAAAAAAAAAAAAAAAAAAGAAUCUUCGAACAUAAAAAACAGCAUAAUCUCCCCAACAACUGAUACGAUUAUAUAAUUCCUUUCUUGGGGUCAAAUGGAGGGCCAAGGCUCGGAAACUCAGGUAUGUUACUUGCAAACAAACAUUUGGCUAAGAGGACAGAAACUGAAUUUGAAGGCCUCACCCUAUAGAUAGAUCCAUCUAUAUGCAUGAGCUCUUGUCGAAAAUAGACCCAAAGCAAACAAGAAGCUUUUGAUUGCAGAAUCAAAGUUGAGUUCAAAGUCAGGCUGCUUAUUUUUUUUUUCUUGUUGGAUUUAUUGUUACAUUUACACAAUAAUUUAGACAGAAAUGGCAAAGGGAUGUGAUCAUUUUUUCAGAAAAUAAAUUUGAACCUUUGAUGUUCGUUAAUUUUCUAUUUUCAUAGUUAUCCUGUUAAGAUAGUUUUGGUAGCAACAGGAAAAACAGAAAAAAGUUCUACUACUGGAACUUUGAGGAGGAUAUAAGAAAGUGCUAAUUCUUGGCAAAUUUAAUCCAACAACUGAUAUUUGAAUGCUAACUCUCAACAUAAAAUUGUAAACUUGAGUGUAGCAUUAAUCCUAGAGAUGGUAAAUAAAUUUAUCAACUUUAUAGUUUGGUUUAAGCACAAGAAUUGAUGUUUUCUGCAUCUUCACAUUGCGCAAGAGAAGGACUAAAUCAACAAAAGAUUAGUCAUUAAAGGAACAAAAGUUUUCAGGGAAGAAUUUAUCGCAGAUACUAUUUCAGAUAUAUAUCCACAGCCCUCAAAAGGCGACUUCAUAUACUCGAAGAGCUGCAGUCAUUUGGCUCAAAUCCUGCCUUUUUGAAGACAGAUGAGAAAAUAAUGGAAAUCAUGAAACAUAAAAUUUAUAGUUCGUACUAAAUAAGAACAAAUAAAAGUUUUCUCCAACUAAUAAGAACAAAUACCAAAUUCCUUCCCUCUAGCCUUGCUAGAAAAUCGAUUACUGGAGCAACUAAAUCCACAACCACAUCCAGGGCAUUCCUCAAAAUUAUCAAUUGAAAACUCACCCGAUGCAAUUCCAAUAGAAAAUUCAAGCACACCACCAUUGCGAUAAACUUCAAUAAUAUCAAACCACAAAAAUAACCACUUCACUUUUAUGCCUUGCAAGCUAGAAAGUAUGCCUUGAGAUAUGUAGCCUUUGAUGGUUGGUUGGUAGCUCAACUUGUACGAACCUUCAAUAGAAAAACUACAACUACCAUUCAAAUAUGCUGAGAACUUGCCCGUGGACUCCUCUAAAUCGUACCCCGUGACUCCUUUUGGUAGUAUCCCCAUCGGAAAGUUGUACCUCUCAAGGAUUUCAUAUGCCGUUGGCUCGUCUCCCAUGGAUUUUGUAAGAAAUAAAGGGAGGAUCGCAAGCAGGAAGAAGGUUGCUUUUAUUAAUGAGAUGUUUCUUGCAUGGAAUGGUUUACCCAUCUCUUUUCUAGUAUGUGAUGGCGUGAUUUUACUGAAAAUACUGACCUUAUAAUUUAUGUGUUGAUCUUCCUCUUCUUCUUCUUUGGUUCUUCUUCUUCUUCUUCCUCCUCGUCUCUAUGUGAAAACUAUAGCCUGUUUUGUGUUUUGCUCUAUUACUCUGAAUUGGACGAAUGGUAGUUGAAGUAGGCAUGCCAGUUUGAAAUUUUAUUUUUCUUUUUGGUGUCAUUUUUUUUGCAAUCAUUGUUAUUGUUAUUAGAAUUCUACUAGCAUCAUGGACAUAAGUUUGUUAAUCAUUAUUUUGUAUUGUUUAGCAUUUUAAAUAUUCAUGAAAACAUCCAAAAAUCCCGGGUGAAAAUAACUAAAAUAUAGGGUUAAAUGGAUAGAAUAACAACAUAUUUUAAAAAUUAGCAACUACUCCAUAACUCUGAAAGUUGCAACAUCUAUGAAUUUCUAUUUUCCUUGUUAUUAUUAGUAGUAUUAUAAUUUUCACUUCAUGCAAUUGAUAUUUGAUACUUCACUUUCUUUGUGUUACGUAGCUGAUAAAUUUAUGAAAAGGAUAGGGUAACAGCAACAGGACUGGAGUCUCAAUAUUGUUGCUUUCACUAUCUUUAUUACUUUUAGUAAUAAACUUGCAUAUGAUGUGUGAAUUUAUGACAAGGAAAAACAUUAAUUUAGCCUUUUCUUUUAAAACAAAAUAAGGAAGUUAAGAUGGAUCAGUGUGCAUAU